GUGGGGAAUAUUGCACAAUGGGCGCAAGCCUGAUGCAGCCAUGCCGCGUGUAUGAAGAAGGCCUUCGGGUUGUAAAGUACUUUCAGCGAGGAGGAAGGCAUUAAGGUUAAUAACCUUGGUGAUUGACGUUACUCGCAGAAGAAGCACCGGCUAACUCCGUGCCAGCAGCCGCGGUAAUACGGAGGGUGCAAGCGUUAAUCGGAAUUACUGGGCGUAAAGCGCACGCAGGCGGUCUGUUAAGUCAGAUGUGAAAUCCCCGGGCUCAACCUGGGAACUGCAUUUGAAACUGGCAGGCUUGAGUCUUGUAGAGGGGGGUAGAAUUCCAGGUGUAGCGGUGAAAUGCGUAGAGAUCUGGAGGAAUACCGGUGGCGAAGGCGGCCCCCUGGAUAAAGACUGACGCUCAGGCGCGAAAGUGUGGGGAGCAAACAGGAUUAGAUACCCUAGUAGUCC
This 450-nucleotide ribosomal RNA is filed under the name uncultured bacterium. RNAcentral's name for it is "partial 16S ribosomal RNA". It matches the Rfam family "Bacterial small subunit ribosomal RNA", at positions 354 to 796 of the family's 1533-position model. The record is from RNAcentral.